UCAAACUUGGUCAUUUAGAGGAAGUAAAAGUCGUAACAAGGUUUCCGUAGGUGAACCUGCGGAAGGAUCAUUAUCGAGUACCGAGGCCCCCGUGCCUCUGCUCCCACCCUGUGUUGAUCUGCAACGUUGCUUUGGCGGGCCGGCGGGUACACCCGCCGCCGGGCUGCGCCUGGAGAGCGCCCGCCAGAGGACCACGCGAAACUCUUUGCAACUGAGCGUCUGAGCACUUUGAGAAUUGACCAAAACUUUCAACAACGGAUCUCUUGGUUCUGGCAUCGAUGAAGAACGCAGC
Molecule: unclassified non-coding RNA, 292 nt
Filed under: uncultured fungus
Lineage: Eukaryota; Fungi
Description: partial contains small subunit ribosomal RNA, internal transcribed spacer 1, and 5.8S ribosomal RNA
Rfam family: Eukaryotic small subunit ribosomal RNA (bases 1-73)
Source: RNAcentral